GGCGGCUGUAGCGCGGUGGUCCCACCUGACCCCAUGCCGAACUCAGAAGUGAAACGCCGUAGCGCCGAUGGUAGUGUGGGGCCUCCCCAUGCGAGAGUAGGGAACUGCCAGGC
RNAcentral lists this ribosomal RNA (113 nucleotides) under Pantoea ananatis. The record is from RNAcentral. RNAcentral also lists the same sequence under 3 other names. Lineage: Bacteria; Pseudomonadati; Pseudomonadota; Gammaproteobacteria; Enterobacterales; Erwiniaceae.